This 190-nucleotide non-coding RNA is filed under the name unclassified sequences. RNAcentral's name for it is "RT-15 RNA". It matches the Rfam family "RT-15 RNA". Rfam says of the family: Proteobacteria. Nearby to self-splicing intron genes The record is from Rfam by way of RNAcentral.
UCGCGCUUGUCGUCCGGCCGUCACGGCAGCCGGGCCAACGCGCAUAGAUAAUCUGGUCGCACCGCUGCCCCACAAGGGCACCGACAGGCGCAUCACAGAUAUCACCGAAUGACUUCGGAGUGAUCUGGCGCAGUUUCCCGGCUGAAUUCCAAAGGCCUCGGCCGGGCGACGUGAGUUGUGCGAUAUAGCG